GGUUGUGGCUCAGAGGUAGAGCGCUUGCCUAGCACAUGCGAGGCCCUGGGUUCGAUCCUCAGCACCA
Molecule: transfer RNA, 67 nt
Filed under: Marmota monax (woodchuck)
Lineage: Eukaryota; Metazoa; Chordata; Mammalia; Rodentia; Sciuridae
Description: tRNA.Ala
Source: RNAcentral